RNAcentral lists this ribosomal RNA (253 nucleotides) under uncultured bacterium. RNAcentral's name for it is "partial 16S ribosomal RNA". It matches the Rfam family "Bacterial small subunit ribosomal RNA", at positions 524 to 776 of the family's 1533-position model. The record is from RNAcentral.
UACGUAGGGUGCAAGCGUUGCCCGGAAUUAUUGGGCGUAAAGAGCUCGUAGGCGGUUUGUCGCGUCUGCUGUGAAAAUCCAGGGCUUAACCCUGGACCUGCAGUGGGUACGGGCAGACUAGAGUGCGGUAGGGGAGAUCGGAAUUCCUGGUGUAGCGGUGAAAUGCGCAGAUAUCAGGAGGAACACCGGUGGCGAAGGCGGAUCUCUGGGCCGUAACUGACGCUGAGGAGCGAAAGCAUGGGGAGCGAACAGG